Non-coding RNA from Schistocerca nitens (vagrant locust), 73 nucleotides. NCBI's taxonomy places the organism in Eukaryota, Metazoa, Arthropoda, Insecta, Orthoptera, Acrididae. The record is from the annotation of a RefSeq genome assembly.
GUCCGGAUGGCGCAGUGGUCAGCGCAUCUGCUUAGUAAGCACGAGACCCAGGUUCGAUUCCAGGUCUGGCACA